This 253-nucleotide ribosomal RNA is filed under the name uncultured bacterium. RNAcentral describes it as "partial 16S ribosomal RNA". It matches the Rfam family "Bacterial small subunit ribosomal RNA", at positions 524 to 776 of the family's 1533-position model. The record is from RNAcentral.
UACGUAGGGUGCAAGCGUUGUCCGGAAUUAUUGGGCGUAAAGAGCUCGUAGGCGGUCUGUCGCGUCGGAUGUGAAAAUCCAGGGCUCAACCCUGGACCUGCAUUCGAUACGGGCAGACUAGAGUUCGGUAGGGGAGACUGGAAUUCCUGGUGUAGCGGUGAAAUUCGUAGAUAUCAAGCAGAACACCUGCGGCGAAGGCGGCCUUCUGGACGAUGACUGACGCUGAGACGCGAAAGCGUGGGGAGCAAACAGG